GGCAAACCCGGCGAAAGCCGGCGACGCAAAGCUAAAGGGUCUGAACCAUGUUUCGUGGAAUGGCAGCCAGCUGC
This 74-nucleotide non-coding RNA is filed under the name pig gut metagenome. RNAcentral describes it as "Cyclic di-GMP-I riboswitch". It matches the Rfam family "c-di-GMP-I riboswitch aptamer", at positions 11 to 83 of the family's 87-position model. From Rfam's summary of the family: GEMM was predicted in a large-scale screen for bacterial structured RNA regulatory elements. Genes associated with GEMM are involved in a diverse array of functions, including chemotaxis regulation, signal transduction, secretion and chitin. The record is from RNAcentral.